Molecule: ribosomal RNA, 261 nt
Filed under: uncultured archaeon
Lineage: Archaea
Description: partial 16S ribosomal RNA
Rfam family: Archaeal small subunit ribosomal RNA
Source: RNAcentral
CAGCCGUAAACUAUGCGCGUUAGGUGUACUGGUGACCACGAGUCACCGGGGUGCCGAAGGGAAACCGUGAAACGUGCCGCCUGGGAAGUACGGUCGCAAGGCUGAAACUUAAAGGAAUUGGCGGGGGAGCACCGCAACGGGAGGAGCGUGCGGUUUAAUUGGAUUCAACACCGUAAAACUCACCAGGGAAGACUGUUACAUGAAGGCCGAGAUGAAGACUCUGCUAGAUUUUCAGAGAGGUGGUGCAUGGCGUCAGUGACU